GUGCCAGCCGCCGCGGUAAUACGGGGGGGGCAAGCGUUGUUCGGAAUUACUGGGCGUAAAGGGCUCGUAGGCGGCCAACUAAGUCAGACGUGAAAUCCCUCGGCUUAACCGAGGAACUGCGUCUGAUACUGGAUGGCUUGAAUCCGGGAGAGGGAUGCGGAAUUCCAGGUGUAGCGGUGAAAUGCGUAGAUAUCUGGAGGAACACCGGUGGCGAAGGCGACAUCCUGGACCGGAAUUGACGCUGAGUGAGCGAAAGCCAGGGGAGCAAACGGGAUUAGAAACCCGUGUAGUCC
This 293-nucleotide ribosomal RNA is filed under the name uncultured bacterium. RNAcentral describes it as "partial 16S ribosomal RNA". It matches the Rfam family "Bacterial small subunit ribosomal RNA", at positions 505 to 796 of the family's 1533-position model. The record is from RNAcentral.